GGAGAGGUAUCGAAGUGGUCAUAACGAGGCGGUCUUGAAAACCGUUUGUCUGAAUAAGGCACGUGGGUUCGAAUCCCACCCUCUCCG
Molecule: transfer RNA, 87 nt
Filed under: Clostridia bacterium
Lineage: Bacteria; Bacillati; Bacillota; Clostridia
Description: tRNA-Ser
Rfam family: tRNA
About the family: Transfer RNA (tRNA) molecules are approximately 80 nucleotides in length.
Source: RNAcentral